Long non-coding RNA from Loxodonta africana (African savanna elephant), 12766 nucleotides. RefSeq lists it as uncharacterized. The record is from RefSeq and is a predicted model, not a curated record. The transcript is spliced from 4 exons. Lineage: Eukaryota; Metazoa; Chordata; Mammalia; Proboscidea; Elephantidae.
CGCGCCGCGCCGCGCCGCGCCCCCGCGGAGCCCGACCCGCCACGCUCCACUGUGCUUCCGCGCCCUUCCCGGUUCUCUGAGGACGCCAGACACAGCAUGGGAGCCUCCAGCUUUCACAUAGUGGAUGAGCGGGGACACUAAGUUUGCACAGAGUUCCUGGGUGGUGCAAACGGUUAACAUGCUCGGCUGCUAACUGAAAACUUGGAGGUGUGAGUCUCCCCAGAGGCACCUUGAAAGAAAGGCCUGGUGACCUACUUCUGAAAAAUCAACCACUGAAAACCCUGUGGAGCACAGGUCUACUCUGACACAAUUGGGGUUGCCUUCUUGGGACUUGAGCUAUCAGCUUGCCUGCCAAUGUUGGGUUCUUCACAGCCUGUGAGCAACAGCCUUGCUGUCCAACCCACUGAUCUUGAGUUCACCAGCCUCUGCGACUACAUGAAUGCGGAGAAGCCCCUAUUCUGAUCCCUGGACUUGGAAUGUUCCAGCCUCUACAAUUGUAUCGCUGCUGUCAGACUGGGUGACGGACAGCUGCAGAAAUGCCUGUGAGACCCAGCUUGUCCUUCCUCUUUGCUAUUCUGCAUCUUGCCUCUCUUGCCACCUGCUGGUCCUGCUGUCCAAUAGCAGCCCAAGAUCCACUAGUGGAUGUUUGACUGUAGAUCUCAGAGGUAUUAACUACACAAAGAUAACCAUUUCCUCAGAGGUAGCAAUUUUGAGAAACCACUCCAUGAGGUUAUCCUACUUUGAUAACCACUUGUGCUUGGUUUCAUAGAUUUCCCUGUCAGCUCCAAUUUGUCCACCUAUUCUAGUGCUUCAUUUUACUUGGAUACAUAGUCAACAGCUGUGGAAGCAGCAGUCAGGAGAUCAAACAAUGUAUUGCAUUGGGCAAAUCUGCUGCAAAAGGCCUCUUUAAAGUGUUAAAAAGCAAAGAUGUCACUUUGAGGACUAAGCUAUCCUGAGUCACUGUAUGGCAUUUUCAGUCACCCAAUGUGCAUGUGAAAGCUCGACAGUGAGUAGGGAAGACCAAAGAAGAGUUGAUGCCUUUGAAUUAUGGUGUUAGUGAAGAAUAUUGAAUGUACCAUGGACUGCCAGAAGAAUGAACAAAUCUGUCUUGGAAGAAGUCCAGCCAGAAUGCUCCUUGGAAGAGAGGAUGGUGAGACUUCGCCUCAUGUGCUUUGGACAUGUUAUCAGGAAGGACCAGUCCUUGGGGAAGGACAUCAUGCUUGGUAAAGUAGAGGGUCAUCGAAAAAGAGGAAGAUCCUUAACAAGAUGGAUUGACACAGUGGUUGCAACAAUGGGCUCAAGUGUAGCAACGAUUGCAAGGAUGGUGCAGAAUCAGGCAGUGUUUCAUUUUGUUGUACACAGGGUCACUAUGAGUCGGAACCGACUCGACGGCACCUAACAACAGCUUACCAGUGCUUCAGUUGAGUGCCUAUUUCUCUGAUCCUCUGACUCUUCCUUCUAGACCUUUGCUUUUCCAAUUUUUCUUAUAUCUGUGUUAAGUCCAAUUCCUGUAGUAACUCCCUUAUUAUCAUAAUACAGUGGCUCUGUUUUCCAACUGAUACACUUGGAAUCUUUGGAUCUUACUUCUCUGCUAUCUUUGUUGCUUCAACAGUAUUUUACUUCUUGGUUGCAAAGUAGGAAACAAGGGCAUCAACCCCAAAAAUAUCUUUCUUCUCAUAUCCCUCUCUUCUUUUAGGGAGGAAAAUUAAAAUCCCUCUUAAAUCUCAUCAGUUAGAAGAAGGUUAUGUGCCUUCCCCUGGUCACUGGCAAAGGGGCUGGAUUGCCAUAAUUGGUUUAGACCAGAAGUCCUGUUCCCUGGCUGUACAUCAGGAUAAUAUGGAAAACUUUUAAAACAUACUUCCUCCUGAGCACAGUCUGCAGAGUUUUUGAUAUAAUUGCUCUGGGGUGGUAUCCAAUAUUUGUAAAAUUCUUUCACAGGGAUUAUAAUGUGCAGCAGGGUUGAGAACCACUGUUUGGAUCCACCUCAACUCAUUCUGUAGAGCUGUUGCACACUGAACAAGAACUUGCCUGAACAAAAUCAUUUUGCCUGAAGAAAAUCAGGGUUCUCUAACAAGAAAGAAGGACGGGCAAUCAAGAGUCUUAAGAUAUUUUUGAUCCAUCCAAAUUAUCUAACAGAAGGAUUGUCUACAGAAUGCAUAGAACUAUGAAUAAAAUUCCCACCUGGAUUGUGUCAUAUACAGCUCUAAGCAUUACUAGAUUCUGUCUUUUGAUGUAUUUUUUCAAUUUUGACUAACUCUAGGAGUGAUGAUAGAACCGCUGUUCUCCCAUUUCUUAGUUAUUUGAGGUAAAGCCUUCUGAAUACACCACCAAGCCAUAUUGCACGGACUCAAGAAACAAUUCUUUGUGGGGCACAUAAUUUUUUUUUUUUUUUUACAUUUUUUAAAAUUUUUAUUGUGUUAAAGUUUACAAAUCAAGUCAGUCUCACACAAAAACCCAUAUACACCUUGCUACACACUCCCAAUUUCGCUCCCCUAAUGAGACAGCCCACUCCCUCCCUCCACUCUCUCUUUUUGUGCCCAUUUCGCCAGCUUCUAACCCCCUCUACCCUCUCAUCUCCCCUCCAGGUAGGAGAUGCCAACAUAGUCUCAAGUGUCCACCUGAUCCAAGAAGCUCACUCCUCACCAGCAUCCCUCUCCAACCCAUUGUCCAGUCAAGUCGCUGGCUUUGGGAAUAGUUCCUGUCCUAGGCCAACAGAAGGUUGUCCUUCUAGUCUCAUUCAGACCAUUAAGUCUGGUCUUUUUACGAUGUGGGGCACAUAAAAUUUUUAAAAAGCUAAGUAAACAUACAAUUAUGACUUACUAAUUCAAGAAAUAAAACAUCCCUUAUCCAGAGAAAUCUUCAGUGUUUUCCUUAAAUUUCACCUAUUUGUGUCAAGGAAUCAAACCAAUAUUCGAGGACACAUAUUCUAGUUACAUAAACCACAGAGAGCAAAAGAAAUUCUAAGAUUGACAUUGAUGAGAAUAUUCAAGUCUAGCUGUAUUUUUGACAAAAAAUGCUUUUGCUAGGAGUUGCAGAAAGGAAAACAAAAUGAAAAUCACAACUUUGAAUAUAAGGGAUGCAUGUUCCAAUAUACAGGUUACUUGAAAAAAAGGAAAUAAUUGAGGACCUUGGUCUUAGGACCUAAUCCAGCCAUUAAGAUAUUAGUCAUUGGGAGGCACACUGAAGAGGUCUACCAAAUCUAAAUCAUUGGACUAUGUACGUAUUGCUCUGUGGGAGAAAGAUGUGGCAGUCUGCUUCCAUAAAGAUUUACAGCCUUGGAAACCCUAUGAGGCAGUUCUACUCUGUCCUAUAAUGUCACUAUGAGUCAGAAUCGACUUGACAGCGUGGGUUUGGUUUUGGUUUGGUUUAUAUACCAAUACCCUUGCGCUCAUUAGUUUCACAGCUUUUGAUAGACCAGUUCUCCCAGGUUUGGCAAGCAAAGUUCACCUUGUUUAAAGGAAAUCCUGUUUAAUUGGUGCCUGAAAAUAGGAGAAUCUGCAGGGUGUGCUUCACUUGAGCAACAGGUUUGCUUUAUCUUACAGAAAGAAUAUUGUUUAAAAUUUUAUUUAUUUAUAAUAAUUAAUAUAGUCAUAUAAUUCAAAAUUUAAAAGGAACAAAACAAUAGUAGUAAAUCUUUCUGCCUGUAUUCCAUAUUCUUCCAGAUUUAAUAAAUAUAUAUCUCGCAUCAUUUUGUUUUUUAUUUUCACCCAAAUGAUAGACUAGGGUUUAUGCAAUGCACUGCACCUUGUUUUUGUCUUAAAAAAUAUAUCUUGACCACUAAUGACUGCCCUGACAGGGAACCCAAGAGAGAAUACCUGAUGGAGCAGGAGAACAGUGGGAUGCAGACCUCAGAUUCUUAUAAGAAAACCAGACUUAAUGGUCUGACUGAGACUGGAGGGGACCCAGAGGUCAUGGCCCCCCGACCCUCUGUUAGCCUGAAACUGGAACUAUUCCCGAAGCCAACUCUUUAGACAAGGGUUGGACUGGACUGUAAGACAGAAAAUGAUACUGGUGAGGAGUGUGCUUUUUGGUUCAAGUAGACCCAUUGAGACUAUGUGGGCAGCUCCUGUCUGGAGAUGAGAUGAAGAGGCAGAGGGGGACAGGAGGUGGUUGAAUGGACAUGGGAAAUACAGAGUGGAGAGGAAGAGUGUGCUGUCUUAUUAGGGGGAGAGCAGCUAGGGGUACAUAGCAAGGCGUAUAUAAGUUUUUAUAUGAGAGACUGACUUGAUUUGUAAACUUCCACUUAAAGCACAAUAAAUGAAAACAAUAAAUAUAUCCAGGAUAUCAAAAAACCCUCUUGGAACUGACCCUGUUAGUUUUUCCCUGCCUUCUAUGAAGCUUAAUGAAAAAUGUGUUGAUUGAAGUUUUCUUGUAUUGUUAGGGGCAGUCAAGUCAAUUCCAACUCAUAGCAACCCUAUGUAUAACAGAACAAAACACUGCCUGAUCCUGCACCAUCCUCACAAUCCUUGCUAUUUUUGAGCCCAUUGUUGCAGCCACUGUGUCAAUCAAUCUUGUUGAGGGUCUCCCUCUUUUUUGCUGACCCUUUACUUUACCAAGCAUGAUGUCUUCUCCGGGGACUGAUCCCUCCUAAUAUUGUGUCCAAAGUAUGUGAGAGGAAGUCUCCCCAUCCUUACUUCUAAGAAGCAUUCUGUCUAUACUUCCUCCAAGACAGAUAUGUUUGUUCUUUUGGCAGUCCAUUGUAUAUUCAAUAUUCUUCUUCACCAACACCGUAAUUAAAAGAUAUCAAUUCUCCCAUCUUCCUUAUUCAUUGUCCAGCUUUCACAUGCAAAUGAGACCAUUGAAAAUAUCAUAGCUUGGGUCAGGCAGGCACACCUUAGUCCUCAAAGUGACAUCUUUGCUUUUUAACACUUUAAGGAGGUGUUUUGCAGCAGAUUUGCCCAACACAAUACUACAUUUGAUUUCUUGACUGCUGCUUUAAUAGAUGUUGAUUGUGGAUCCAAAUAAAAUUGAAAUUCUUGACAACAUCAGUAUUUUCUCCAUUUAUCAUGAUAUUGCUUAUUGGUCCAGUUGUGAGGAUUUUUCUUUUCUUUAUGUUGAGGUAUAAUCUGUACUAUAAAGGCUGUGGUCUUUGAUCUUCAUCAGUGUUUCAAGUCCUCUUCACUUUCUGCAAGCAAGGUUGUGUCAUCUGCCUAUCACAGGUUGUUAAUGAGUCUUUCUCCAGUCCUGUUGCCACGUUCUUCUUCAUAAAGUCCAGCUUCUCAGAUUAUUUGCUCAGCAUAGAGAUUGAAUAAGUAUGGUGAAAGGAUACAACUCUGAUGCACACUUUACAGAUUUUUAACUACACUGUUUCCCCUUGUUCUUUUUUGAACAACUCUCUCUUGGUCUAUGUACAGGUUCCUCAUGAGCACAGUUAAGUGGACUGGAAUACCCGUUCUUCCCAGUGUUAUUCAUAAUGUGUUAUGAUCCACACAGUGAAAUGCGUUUGCAUAGUCAACUAAAACACAGGUAAACAUCUUUCUGGUACUCUCUGCUUUCAGCCAAGAUCCAUCUAACAUCAGCAAUGGUAUCCCUUGUUCCACGUCCUCUUUUGAAUCCAGCUUGAAUUUCUGGCAGCUCCCUGUUGAUAUACUGCUGCAAACAUUUUUUUAAUUAUCUUCAGCAAAAUUUUACUUGUGUGUGAUAGUAAUGAUACUGUUCAAUAUUUUCCGCAUUCUGUUGGAUCACCUUUCUUUGGAAUGGGCACAAAUAUGGAUCUCUUCCUGUUGGUUGGCUAGGUAGCUGUCUUCCAAAUUUCUUGGCAUAGGUGAGUGAGCACCUACAGCACUGCAUCCAUUUGUUAAAGCAUCCCAAGUAGUAUUCUGUCAAUUCCUGGAGCCUUGUUUUUCACCAGUACCUUCACUGCAGCUUGGACUUCUUCCUUCAAUACCAUUGGCUCUUGAUCAUAUGCUACCUCCUAAAAUGGUUGAACAUUGACCCAUUCUUUUUGGCACAGUGACUCUGUGUAUUCUUUCCGUCUUCUUUUGGUGCUCCCUGCAUGGUUCAAUAUUUUGCCCAUAGAAUCCUUCAGUAUUGCAACUGGAGGCUUGAGUUUUUUCUUCAGUUCUUUCAGCUUGAGAAGUGCUGAGCGUGUUCUUCCCUUUUGGUUUUCUAACUUCAGGUUUUUGCACAUGUCAUUAUAACACUUUACUUUGUCUUCUCAAGCUGCCCUUUGAAAUCUUCCACUCAGCUCUUUUACUUCAUCCUUUCUGCCAUACACACACUGAAUAACAUUAUGAAUAGCAGUCAAACAUUGUUUAAUAUAGUGCAGGAAGAAGAUUCAAGUCAAUCAAGGUUUAAGUGCCUUUGGUAUGCAAUUUACCAAAUUAUACCUGGCUUCAUUUUUUUGGAUGUUACAAAGCUGACAGAAUACUUGGAAAAAAAUACAUGAUAACUUAGGAGUGUUAGAAAGAUGUCUGUAAGUGUGGAGUGUAGAAUUGGAGACAGAAUAAUAGUUGAAACUACCCAUUGGGAACUGGAAUUUGGCCAUGGAAGAAAGGCAGUACAUAUGUAUGAUAAAACAAACAAACCUAAACCUGUUACUGUUGAGCCAAUUCCAACUCAUGCUGGCGACCCUAUAGGAGAGAGUCGAACUGCCCCAUAGAGUUUCCAAGGAGCAGCUGGUGAAUUUGAACUAACAACCUUUUGGUUACCAGCCUGAGCUCUUAACCACCAUGGCUUCAUGUAUAAUAGAGAGGUUAAUUAAAAUUCUUAUAGUUCUGAAUUUGAAUUGGAAGUAUCAGUAUGAUUUUGUGCAUUACGUUAUCUUUUCACCAAAGAAAAAAAAAGUAUUUCUUAGCUCUGUCCACUGAAAAGGCAUGAAAACAGUGACCAACCCUGUAGCAAUAAGCACCCAAGCACACAGAUUGUGGUUGUUAAAUACCAUUUCCACAUAAAAGUUUUGUUCUUAGUCCAUAAAACAUUGAAUCAAUGAGGUAGCUAGCUUCUUAGAUGGCCCCUGAAGAUCCUUGCCUCCAAGUAUUCACACCUUUCUGUUUUACUCCCCUAUAUUGUAUCAGGAUUGAUCUGUGUGGUCAAUAGAAAAUGGCAGAAGUGAUAUUAUGUCACUUCUGAAGUUAAGUUAUAAAAGACUUCAGCUUCCAUCUUGGGCUUUCACUCUGGGGGAAGCAAGCUGCCACAUCUUGAGGACAUUCAAGCAGCUUAUGAACAGGCCAAUGUGGGGAAAACAAACAAACAAAAAAAAAAUAGCAACAACGGCAAAAAACAAGGCCUCUGGCUACAGCCAGUGAGGAACUAAGCUCCACCAACAGCUACGUGAAUAAGCUUGCAAACAGACCUCCAGCCUUCAGAUGACUACAGCCUUGGCCAACAGCUUGCCUGUAACUUCCUCAGAGACCCUGAGCCAGUACCACUCAGCUAAGCUGUUUCUGGAUUCCUGACUGUCUUGGUCAUCUAGUGCUGCUAUUACAGAAAUACCACAAGUAGAUGGCUUUAACAAAGAGAAGUUUAUUCUCUUACGGUCCAGUAGGCUAGAGGUCUGAAUUCAGUGUGCUGGCUCCAGGGGAAGGCUUUCUCUCUCUGUCGGCUCUGGAGGAAGGCCCUUAUCGUCAGUCUUCUCUUGGUCUGAGAGCAUCUCAGCAUAGGAACCUCAGGUCCAAAGGACAUGCUCUGCUCCUGGCACUGCUUUCUUGGUGGUAUGAGAUCCCGAUGUCUCUCUAUUUGCUUCUCUCUUUUAUAACUCAAAAGAGAUUGGCUUCAGAUACUAUCUAAUCUUGUAGAUCUCAUUAAUAUAACUGCCACUAAUCCAUCUGUCGUGGAUUGAAUUAUGUCCCCCCAAAAAUAUGUGUAUCAGCUUGGUUAGGCCAUGAUUCCCAGUAUUGUGUGGUUGUCCUCCAUUUUGUGAUUGUAACUUUAUGUUGAGAGGAUUAGGGUGGGGUUGUAACACCACCCUUACUCAGGUCACCUCCCUGAUCCAAUGUAAAGGGAGUUUCCCUGGGGUGUGGCCUGCACCACCUUUUAUCUCUCAAGAGAUAAAAGGAAAGGGAAGCAAGUUGAGAGUGGGGGACCUCAUACCACCAAGAAAGAAGCACUGAGAGCCCAGUACAUCCUUUAGACCUGGCAUUCCUAUGCAGAGAAGCUCUUAGUCUAGAGGAAGAUUGACGAGAAAGACCUUCCUUCAGAGCUGAUGGAGAGAGAGCCUUCCCCUGGAACUGAUGCCCUGAAUUUGGACUUUUAGCCUACUGGACUGUGAGAGAAUAAACUUCUCUUUGUUAAAGCCAUCCACUUGAGGUAUUUCUGUUAUAACAGUGCUAGAUGACUAAGACACCAUCUUAUUAACAUCACAGUGAUAGGAUUUACAACACAUAGGAAAAUCUCAUCAAAUGACCAAAUGGUGGACAAUCACACAAUACUGGGAAUCAUGGCCUAACCAAGUUAACCGAUAUUUUUGGGGGACACAAUUCAAUCCGUGACACUGACCCACAGAAAACGUGAGAUAAAUGUUUGUCAUUUUAAGUUGUUAAGUCUGGUAGUUGUUUGUUAUGCAGCAGUAGAUAACCUAUACAACAAUACAAGUAUUGUUUUGUCUCCAACUUUCCAAAAGUAUUACUUCAAAGCUACUUGUAUCAAAAGUGAAAGUAGAGAAAAGGACUUCAACAAAGCAAGUUAUUAAGUACUUUCAUUUCUGUUGUGAUAAAUUUGCUAGCAAUACUUGUAAUAUGUUACAAAUACUUGGAGAUAAUGACACCAUAUAGCGUUAGCAAAUCCAAAGUUACUAAGACUAGUUUUGUCUAAAUUGUAUAGUGAUAAAAGAUUUAAUUUUCUAAGAAAUAUAAAAAAAUAAGUCAAAGAACCAGUCUGCUUUUAUUGUACUGUCAGUGUUGUUAGACAUAAGUUAUAAUAGGCAUUUUGCACCCAUCAAGUGGUGGAAUUAAUGGUUAGAAUCCUUUUACAAAUAGAAAUUGCUGGUAAAUUUUAGAUCCAUGACAAGGAACAACCUGAUUUGUAUGUGCAGCCAGUCAAGCAACUUAAUGCCAAGCCUAAUAUUUGGAAGUUCACCUAGUUGAGUAAUUGCUGUUUGAGUUGCAUUUCUGUGAUGGUAUCAUGGAUUGAAUAACGUCCCCCCAAAAAUAUGUGUAUCAGUUUGGCUGGGCUAUGAUUCCUGGUAUUUGUGAUUUUCCUAUAUGUUGUAAAUCCUGCCUCUAUGAUGUUAAUGAAGGAGGAUGGGUGGCCAUUCUGUUAGUGAAGCAGGACUCAGUCUACAAGAUUGGAUUGUUUCUUGAGCCGAUCUCUCGAGAUAUGAAAGAGAAGCAAGCAGAAAGACAGGGGGACCUCAUACCACCAAGAAAGAAGCAAUGCUGGGAGUAGAGCAUGUCCUUUGGACCUGGGGUCCCUGUGCCCAGAAGCUUCUGGUCUGGUGAAACAUUGAUGAGAAGGCUGACAGAGAGAAUACUUUCCCCUGGAGCUGAGGCCCUGAAUUUAGACUUUUAGUCUACUUUACUGUGAGGAAAUAAAUUUCUCUUCGUUAAAGCUAUCCACUUGUAUUUCUGUUAUAGCAGCACUAGAUGACUAAGACAGAUGGGUUUGAGUUUUCAGAUGCACUGAUGAGUACUAUCAAACCUGGAAUUAUUAUUUUUAUGCACAGCAUAUUAUGCAUAACUACAGCUAUGAUUUAAUUAAUGUCUAAAUAUUUGCUUUCUUUGACUUUGUGUUUUGAUGGCAUCCAAUUGAUAGCUACCCAUGAAAAUUAUUUGGAUAUACAUUUCAAGAUCUAUCCUGAAAUACAACAUUGUCAGUGAUAGGAUAAUAUCCAUUUGUCUACAAGGAAGACCAGUUAAUAUGAUUAUUAUUCACAUUUACCCAGGAACCACUAAGGCCACAGGUGAAGAAACUGAAGAUUUUUAUCAGCUUCUGCAGUCUGAAAUUGAUCAAACAUGCAAUCAGGGUGCAUUGAUAAUUACUGGUGAUUGCAAUGUGAAAGUUGGAAACAAGAAGGAUCGGUAGUUGGGAAAUAUGGCCUUGGUGAUAGAAACAAUGCCAGAGAUCAAAUGAUAUAAUUUUGCAAGAUCAACAACUACUUCAUUACAAAUACCUUUUUUCACCAAUAUAAACGACCUUGCCAGAUGGAAUACACAGGAAUCAAAUUGACAAUAUCUGUGGAAAGAGACAAUAGAAAAGUUCAAUAUCAUCAGUCAAAACAAGGCCAGGGGCCGACUGGAACAGACCAUCAGUUGCUCCUAUGCAAGUUCAAGUUGAAACUGAAGAAAAUUGGAGCAAGUCCACGAGAGCCAACAUAUGACCUUGAGUAUAUCCCACCUGAAUUUAGAGACCAUCUCAAGAAUAGAUUUGACACGUUGAACACUAAUGACCAAAGACCAGACAAGUUGUGGAGUGACAUCAAGAGCAUCAUACACGAAGAAAGCAAGAGGUCAUUGAAAAGACAGGAAAGAAAGAAAUGACCAAGAUGGAUGUCAGAGGAGACCCUGAAACUUGCUCUCAGAUGUCAAGCAGCUAAAGCAAAAGGAAGAAAUGAUGAAGUAAAAGAGGUGAACAGAAGAUUUCAAAGGAUGGCUCGAGAAGACAAAGUAAUGUAUUAUAAUGACAUGUGCAAAGAGCUGGAGAUAGAAAAACAAAAGGGAAGAACACACUCAGCGUUUCUCAAGCUGAAGAAACUGAAGAAAAAAUUCAAGCCUUGAGUUGCGGUAGUGAAGGAUUCUAUGAGGAAAAUGUUAAAUGACCCAGGAACCAUCAAAAGAAGAUGGAAGGAAUACACAGAGUCAUUAUACCAGAAAGAAUUAGUCGACGUUCAACCAUUUCAUGAGGUAAUGUGUGAUCAGGAAGCGAUGGUACUGAAGGAAGAAGUCCAAGCUGCAAUGAAGGCAUGGCAAAAAUCAAGGCUCCAGGAAUUGACAGAAUAUCAGUUGAGGUGUUUCAACAAACGGAUGCAGCACUGGAAGUGCUCACUCGUUUAUGCAAAGAAAUUUGGAAGACAGCUUCCUGGCCAGCCCACUGGAAGAGAUCCAUAUUUAUGCCUAUUCCCAAGAAAGGUGAUCCAACAGAAUGUGGAAAUUAUCAAACAAUAUCAUUUAUAUCACACACAAGCAAAAUUUUGCUGAAGAUCAUUCAAAGCGGCUGCAGCAGUAUAUUGACAGGAAACUGCCAGAAAUUCAGGCUGGUUUCAGAAGAGGACGUAGAACCAGGGAUAUCAUUGCUGAUGUCAGAUGGAUCCUGGCUGAAAGCAGAGACUACCAGAAGGAUAUUUACCUGUGUUUUAUUGACUAUGCAAAGGCAUUCGACUGUGUUGAUCAUAACAAAUUAUGGAUAAUAUUGCAAAGAAUGGAAAUUCCAGAACACUUAAUCAUGCCCAUGAGGAGACUGUACGUAGAUCAAGAGGCAGUUAUUUGGACAGAACAAGGGGAUACUGAGUGAUUUAAAGUCAGGAAAGGUGCGUGUCAGGGUUGUAUCCUUUCACCAUACCUAUUCAUGAGCAGAUAAUGCUGAGCAGAUAAUCCAAGAAGCUGGACUACAUAAAGAAUAACUGGGCAUCAGGACUGGAGGAAGACUCAUUAACAACCUGCAUUAUGCAGAUGACACAACCUUGCUUGCUGAAAGUGAAGAGGACUUGAAGCACUUACUGAUGAAGGUCAAAGAGCACAGUCUCCGGUAUGGAUUACAUUUCAACAUAAAACAAAAAUCCUCCACCUGGGCCAAUAAGCAACAUGAUGGAUAAACAGAGAAAAAAUUGAAGUUGUCAAGCAUUUAAUUUGACUUGGCUCCACAAUCAACAGCCAUGGAAGCAGCAGUCAAGAAAUCAAAAGACACAUUGCAUUGAGCAAGUCUGCUGCAAGGGACCUCUUUAAAGUGUUGAAAAGCAAAGAUGUCACCUUGAAGACUAAGGUGCGACUGACCCAAGCCAUGGUAUUUUCAAUCGCAUCAUAUGCAUGUGAAAGCUGGACAAUCAAUAAGGAAUACUGAAGAAGAAUUGAUGCCUUUGAAUUGUGGUGUUGGCGAAGAAUAUUGAAUAUACCAUGGACUGCCAAAAGAAGGAACAAAUCUGUCUUGGAAGAAGUACAACCAGAAUGUUCCUUAGAAGUAAGGAUGGCGAGACUGUGUCUUACACACUUUGGACAUGUUGUCAGGAGGGAUCAGUCCCUGGAGAAGGACAUCAUGCUUUGUAAAGUACAGGGUCAGCGGAAAAGAGGAAGACCCUCAAGGAGAUAGACUGUCACAGUGGCUGUGACAGUGGACUCAAGCAUAACAACGAUUGUGAGGACGGCGUAGGACCAGGCAGUGUUUUGUUCUGUUGUACGUAGGGUCGCUAUGAGUUGGAACCGACUUCAUGGCACCUAACAACAACAACAACAUACCUUUGCAGCAGGGGCAUUUUAAUAUUUCUUUUGCAAUUCAGAAGCUUUAGGGAGUGAUUAUUUUGGUUUAUAUACAUGUGUUUUUAUUACACUAUACCUAGCAGUUCAACUUUAAAAUUUGACCUACUAGUCCAGGUUCCAUAAAGGCAAGAACCAAGUUUGUCUUCACCAUUUUGUCUGCAGUGCCCGAUACAUGGUUGUCAUGAAUUGAAUUGUGUCCCCCCAAAAAAUGUGUGUAUCAGUUUGGCUGGGCCAUGAUUCCUGGUAUUGUGUAACUGUCCACGAUUUUGUCUUCUGAUGUGAUCUUCCUAUGUGUUAUAAAUCCUGUCUCUGUGAUGUUUAUGAGGAGAAUGGGAGGCAGUUGUAUUGAUGAGCCAGGACUCAGUCUACUGGAUUGGAUUGUGUCUUGAGCCUGUUUCUUUUGGGAUAUGAAAGAAAGAAGU